This 71-nucleotide transfer RNA is filed under the name Ictidomys tridecemlineatus (thirteen-lined ground squirrel). Its description in RNAcentral is "Spermophilus tridecemlineatus (thirteen-lined ground squirrel) tRNA". It matches the Rfam family "tRNA". From Rfam's summary of the family: Transfer RNA (tRNA) molecules are approximately 80 nucleotides in length. Lineage: Eukaryota; Metazoa; Chordata; Mammalia; Rodentia; Sciuridae. The record is from Rfam by way of RNAcentral.
GUGGCUGUGGCUCAGUGGUAGAGCACUUGCCUAGCACGUGUGAGGCACUGGGUUCAAUCCUCAGCACCACA